UACGUAGGGUGCAAGCGUUAAUCGGAAUUACUGGGCGUAAAGCGUGCGCAGGCGGUUAUGUAAGACAGGUGUGAAAUCCCCCGGCUUAACCUGGGAACUGCGUCUGAUACUGGAAGGCUUGAGUAUGGGAGAGGGAUGUAGAAUUCCAGGUGUAGCGGUGAAAUGCGUAGAUAUCUGGAGGAAUACCGGUGGCGAAGGCGGCAUCCUGGACCAUUACUGACGCUGAGGCGCGAAAGCUAGGGGAGCAAACGGG
This 253-nucleotide ribosomal RNA is filed under the name uncultured bacterium. RNAcentral describes it as "partial 16S ribosomal RNA". It matches the Rfam family "Bacterial small subunit ribosomal RNA", at positions 524 to 776 of the family's 1533-position model. The record is from RNAcentral.